CGUAAGCAAGGGAGGACUGUAUUGCUGAACACCUGAGUCUCUCUGAAGAAGCAAACUGCUGACUUUAUGUGGGGUUUUGAGAACUAUGAUCUUCAGGGGUUGGAGGAUUUUUGGAGCCAAGGAAGCUGUGUGUGUUCAGAGAGUGCUACAGGCAUUCAUCAUAUUCACAGACACCGAAGGAGACUUUCUAACAUUCACAAGUGUGUGCUGCCCCAAGGUCAGCGAAGGUCAUCCACAAAGCCAAUGUUGAAGGAAAAGUGAGGAUCAUGCUACCUAUGAGAUGAAGCCACCAAAUGGCCCCAAAUGUUAGCCUGGGCACACAUGAGGUCAUUUAUCUUCACUUCUACCAGUAAGAAUGUACACUAAGAAAACAGGAAAAUAGUGAAACUCAUUGAAACAUGAAGUGGCAACAACUAAGAAAAGUCUUCAUGCCGUGAUCUGGGAGGAAUUAACACCAAUCAUCGCAGAAAACAAAGCUGGGUAAGAUCAAACAAGCAAAGUGUGAGUCAACCAGUGUUGCUCCCAGGCUUUCCCUAAACAAAAUCGAGAUGACCUUUUUCUUCCUCCUCCUCUUUCUUUUCCUUCUUCAAAGUCACUCUAUCUCCUAACUUGGGCACCCGGGGUCUGGAUCAGCAAGAGAAUGUGUGGGUCAGCUACCUCUUCUCCUUGGGGCUGCAUUUCCCCCUCCCCACCAGUUCUCCUCUCUGCUCACAAGCAACACAGGAGAAAGGUGAUGAGGCUAGUCAGGGAGACCGGAUAGAAGAGGCUCAGAGCAUUUUGGGAGUUAUGGUCUUCAGGAGUGAGAAAGAAAAGAAACUUUUUAUCUGAGGAAUGUGAGCCCCCUUAAUUACCAGGCCCAGAGAGGCAAUGAAAUGUGAUAGCGUGUGACAGCAGUCACAUCUCACUCCCUCUUGAGCUAAAUAAUUACCUCUUGAAACCACUUGCUAUAUGGGCUCUAGACUAACUGACGCCAAGUAGCCAUAAAGUGCCAUACACCCUAUAGUUCACUAAUGUACAGCCAAUCACUAAUCAAUGUUAUUUCUGUAAACCAAUGAGAAUUUGACAAUAACUUUGUAGCAGCCCAUUCCCUGUCCCCCUCUUGCCUUUAAAACCUUGCUAGUAACAAAGGCCAAAGGGGAACACUCUCCAAAGCAACUUGGAAGUGUAUCCUGAGAAACCGUUGGCCCAAAUAAAUUCUAUUAAUUUCACCUCAGUUUCUUUCUUUGGGUUAAUAGGAGUAUAUAAUAAGAACAAUGUCUAUGGAGGGCUGACUAUGUGCUAGGCAUCAUAGUGCACAUUUAACAACAAUUACUAGGGGAAUUUCUAUUAAACCUUUAUUUUUCGGCAGUGGCCUCCUCUUAAUUAAUUUCAUUGCUUUACUCUUGGGAAUUGCCUGGAUUUUUUUUUCUAAUUCCAAACAGUUUCUGUGCAUCUUCCAAGAUGAAUCUAGAAGUCCUUAAAAUUAUAGUUCAAUGAUAGAUCAGUCUCCAGCAGACCUUCGCUGCUCUCUGAAAGGGCUUUUGGUCAGCCCAGAGUGAUUCAAGGACUAAGCACUCCAAGGUGCGCUCAGGCCAAAAUGUAUCUGUAGAUUUUUCAUAUUGCUUCAAGGGCUGUUUACCUUAAGAUUUUUUUUAAACUAGUCUUUGUCAUUUUGCAUAUUUAGCUUUUAACCCAAUUUUGUAAGAUCAGGUCUGCAAACCUGUAAUUACCUGUGUAAUUAAAGUGAGAUGUAUCAUUAAAAUAUUCAACCUAUUUUUUAAAAAAGAUCCCUUUUUGUUUCUGUAAAAAUCAUGUCUGCUUAUUGUUAACAACUUAAGCAGGGCAGAAAGAGUUGAAAGAGGAAAGUUAAAGAGAAAAACCAUCAAAUUUCUGGCCCUGAGAAAUAAUCAUUUUAGAUUUAAGGAAAAUAAGUACAAGCCCCAACAAAAGAUUCUUAAUAAUUGAAGACAUAGCUAAGUAAAAAGGAUUUCCAAAACGCACUCACGUGAAUUAUAUUUAGAGGCUGUAGUUUGAUUAGAACUGCCUACAGGGUGUGAUUUGAGGCUCCUUUGCUAAAACAUAAUUCUUCUGGGCUGUCGGAGGUGUAUGAAAAGCCCGUUCCCCAAUUCCCCUUCCUAAGGUUUCUCUCCAGCUUGUAGAUUCUGCUGACCUUGGGCCAAUCACCCCAUCUCUCUAGUCCUCAGCUUCAAAAUGAGGGGGCUGGACCAAGUCAUCCCUGAAAGCCCCUCCAUGACUCACAGUCUAGGGGCUGUUUUCCGUGUUAAAUGGGAAAGUAUCAUACGAGGUGCUUGAAUUGUAUGAAUGGAAGUGGAGAGCUCAGAAAUAUUGGGGGUAGGAGGAACUCAGGGGAACCCCAAGCUGUGCGAUUCCCCUGAAUUCAUCUAACCCCUUUGGAGGAAAGGGAGGAAUGAAUGGAGGAAAUGCAGAUAUUUGGGACAAAGAUGAAAGGAGAGAGAGACGGGACCAAACUUAGGAAAUUUCAUUUCCACCACAAUUUAAUCUAAGGUUGACCUAAAUUUUAUUGUCCGUGUCUUUGAUUGCAAAUACAUUAAAAAUGAUAAUUAUGUGGUAAUUAAAGCCUGAAAUUAACCAACAAAGGAAAGGUACACAUUAGUGAUAGGUCUUUAAAUUAUACCAAGACUUCCUGCAUCUCCAGUCCUAAUGGUUUCAGAUUAUUAACCAAUUAGCAGAGAGGUGUAGGAGCAGGCAAACUUGUAGUGCAGGCGUCAGGAGAAGCAAAGACCAAUCACGAAGUGAGAACAAAGCUUCACCGCACGGAGACGUAAGUCAGGGCACACACACGCCUCAGUUUAGAAGAGUUGGGUGACCCUUCCUCGUUGGUUUACCUUUGUGAAGUCUCUGCGUGUCAAAGAAUUCCCAUGGUUUGCACAGUGAGAGGAUGUGUGGUGAAGUAAUAGAGUUAGCAAUAAAGCCAUCCCACUAAGAAGGUUUCAAACUUAGACGAUGUCGUCGAUUUAUUUACUAUGUGGCUGCUUCACUAGAAGGUAAGCUCCCAGCAGUCAGGGACUUGCUCUGUUUGGUUCCCUGCUGUGUCCUCUGGGUCUGAAUAGAGCUUGCGUCAAUAAACAUUUGUGAAUGAUGAGCCCAGGGUUUGCCUCAAAAGAGGAGAGGACUUCCUGCUGAAGACAGAUGACUCACAAAGUCAUUAGGAUGAGAAAUUAUUUCGAGUUCUUCUUCUACAUCCCAAGGAUGAUGAAAGAACCCCCACCCCAAAGCAUGACUGAAAUGGAAUAUCCUAACAGCCUAUGUGAGUCUGGGCCUGAACCAAAUUUAUUUAAGAAAAUACUCUGUUGGCCGGGCACGGUGGCUCACAUCUGUAAUCCUAGGACUUUGGGAGGCUGAGGCGGGUGGAUUAUGAGGUCAGGAGUUCAAGACCAUCCUGGCCAAUAUGGUGAAACCCUGUCUCUACUAAAAAUACAAACAUUAGCUGGGCAUAGUGGCAUGUGCCUGUAGUCCCAGCUACUCAGGAGACUGAGGCAGAAGAAUCGCUUGAACCCAGGAGGCAGAGUUUGCAGUGAGCAGAGAUCACACCACUGCACUCCAGCCUGGGCAACAAAGCAAGAUUCUGUCUCAAAGAAAAAAAGAAAGAAAAGAAAAGAAAAGAAAAAUAAAAUAAAGACAGUUACCCAUUGCUGCAGAGCAGAGCACCCCAAAUGUCGUGGCAUAAAACAACACCUUUUUAUUAAGCUCACAGAUUCUGUGAGUCAGGAAUUUGGGCAAAGAUGGCUUGUCCCUGCUCUGUGAUAUCUGGAGUCUCAGCUGUAUAGAUUUGAAGGCCAGAAGGGCUAGAGUCCUGCAGGUUUCUUUAUCACAUGUCUGGGUCCUGGGUUGGGAUGACUUGAAGUCUGGGCUUGGCUGGUUCUAUGACCCAGAACACCUACAUGGGGCUUCUCCGUGUGACUUAGGCUUCUCAGCACGGUGGUGGGUUCCAAAUAGGAGAUUCUAAAGAGCCAGUGUCCCCAGAGAACCAGGCAGAGACGGCCUCACCCUUCUGACCUAGCCUUAGAAGUUACACGAACAGUGUCACUUCCACCACACACGAUGGUCACAGCUUGCCCAGAUUCAAGGGCUAUAACUCUACCUCUUGAUAAAAAGAAUGUCAAAGAGCUUGUGUCUACUUUACAAACUGCCCCAAUGUAUGAAGUUUUUCAACUGGAUGUCUGCAU
Long non-coding RNA from Callithrix jacchus (white-tufted-ear marmoset), 4187 nucleotides. RefSeq lists it as uncharacterized. The record is from RefSeq and is a predicted model, not a curated record. NCBI's taxonomy places the organism in Eukaryota, Metazoa, Chordata, Mammalia, Primates, Cebidae.